GAUGAACGCUGGCGGCGUGCCUAAUACAUGCAAGUCGAGCGAACGGACGCGAAGCUUGCUUCUUUGAUGUUAGCGGCGGAGGUGAGAGUAACACGUGGAUACCCUACCUAUAAGUCUGGGAAAACUUCGAGACACCGGAGCUAAUCCCGUAUAAUCUUCUGAACCGCGUGGUUGGAAAGUGAAAGACGGUCUUGCUGUCACUUAUAGAUGGAUAUGCGCUGCAUUAGCUAGUUGGUAAGGUAACGGCUUACCACGGCAACGAUGCAUAGCCGACCUGAUAGGCUGAUCGGCCGCACUGGAGCUUAGACACGGUCCAGGCUCCUACGGGAGGCAGCAGUAGGGAAUCUGCCGCAAUGGGCGAAAGCCUUACGGAGCAACGCCGCGUGAGUUAUGAAGGUCUUCGGAUCGUAAUACUCUGUUAUUAGUGAAGAACAGAUUUGGAAGUAACUGAGCACUUCUUGACGGUACCUAAUAAGAAAGCCACGGCUAACUACGUG
This 497-nucleotide ribosomal RNA is filed under the name uncultured bacterium. RNAcentral describes it as "partial 16S ribosomal RNA". It matches the Rfam family "Bacterial small subunit ribosomal RNA", at positions 28 to 507 of the family's 1533-position model. The record is from RNAcentral.